This 77-nucleotide transfer RNA is filed under the name Sulfurihydrogenibium sp. RNAcentral describes it as "tRNA-Cys". It matches the Rfam family "tRNA". Rfam says of the family: Transfer RNA (tRNA) molecules are approximately 80 nucleotides in length. Their secondary structure includes four short double-helical elements and three loops (D, anti-codon, and T loops). Further hydrogen bonds mediate the characteristic L-shaped molecular structure. tRNAs have two regions of fundamental functional importance: the anti-codon, which is responsible for specific mRNA codon recognition, and the 3' end, to which the tRNAs corresponding amino acid is attached (by aminoacyl-tRNA synthetases). tRNAs cope with the degeneracy of the genetic code in two manners: having more than one tRNA (with a specific anti-codon) for a particular amino acid; and 'wobble' base-pairing, i.e. permitting non-standard base-pairing at the 3rd anti-codon position. Lineage: Bacteria; Pseudomonadati; Aquificota; Aquificia; Aquificales; Hydrogenothermaceae. The record is from RNAcentral.
GCACAGGUGUCAGAGUGGUCUAUUGAGGUGGAUUGCAAAUCCAUUGUUCAGCGGUUCGAAUCCGCUCUUGUGCUCCA